CAGGCCCUGAAUCAAGACCAAUGGUUUGCUGUAGCUAUUGGUUUCAAACAGGAGCCUAGAAGAAUGUCUCCCCAUGGUCUGUUGGCUUUUCUGAAUUCCUGGUGGGGAAUGGCCAAUUCAGUUGGAAGAGACAAUU
Molecule: small nucleolar RNA, 136 nt
Organism: Vombatus ursinus (common wombat)
Lineage: Eukaryota; Metazoa; Chordata; Mammalia; Diprotodontia; Vombatidae
Source: Ensembl